UACGUAGGGUGCGAGCGUUGUCCGGAAUUAUUGGGCGUAAAGAGCUUGUAGGCGGUCUGUCGCGUCUGCUGUGAAAAUCCGGGGCUCAACCCCGGACUUGCAGUGGGUACGGGCAGACUAGAGUGUGGUAGGGGAGACUGGAAUUCCUGGUGUAGCGGUGAAAUGCGCAGAUAUCAGGAGGACACCGAUGGCGAAGGCAGGUCUCUGGGCCACUACUGACGCUGAGGAGCGAAAGCAUGGGGGAGCGAACAGG
RNAcentral lists this ribosomal RNA (253 nucleotides) under uncultured bacterium. RNAcentral's name for it is "partial 16S ribosomal RNA". It matches the Rfam family "Bacterial small subunit ribosomal RNA", at positions 524 to 776 of the family's 1533-position model. The record is from RNAcentral.